AUUACAGAGGUGGAAGCGUGUUUAUUAUUGCUACAUCAGGCUGAAGGUCCAGGCUUCCGCAUAAUCUCUACUGAUAGAUACUAUGGAAUGAUGGGGCAAGAAAUAGCCUUAUUACCAACAAUCAGAGAUGGAAGUCCCAGAAAUGUAUUUGGCCUUCCCUGCUACCAUCUUGGCAGAGAUGUUACUUAAUUACAGCCUCAUGCAACUAGAAUUCAAAUGAUUCACCUCUCUCAGGAGGGAGACAAGCCCUUGUUUGGAAGCCAUGAGAAAGCUUGAGGACCAUCACUAAACUGUAAUCAAUACAUACAAAGAAGAAUAUAAGAUUGUAAAUAUCUGUAAUCAACAAGGACUCUGUAAGUACCCUGCCUUACUGUUAUGGGAG
This 382-nucleotide long non-coding RNA is filed under the name Equus caballus (horse). Its description in RNAcentral is "lncRNA (ENSECAG00000056444.1)". The record is from RNAcentral. Lineage: Eukaryota; Metazoa; Chordata; Mammalia; Perissodactyla; Equidae.